GGGCUUAGGAUGCUGUAGCUGACCUGCGGCAGGAUCAUUA
Molecule: ribosomal RNA, 40 nt
Filed under: Dermocybe semisanguinea
Lineage: Eukaryota; Fungi; Basidiomycota; Agaricomycetes; Agaricales; Cortinariaceae
Description: partial 18S ribosomal RNA
Source: RNAcentral